Molecule: ribosomal RNA, 503 nt
Filed under: uncultured bacterium
Lineage: Bacteria
Description: partial 16S ribosomal RNA
Rfam family: Bacterial small subunit ribosomal RNA
Source: RNAcentral
GAUGAACGCUAGCGACAGGCUUAACACAUGCAAGUCGAGGGGCAGCGGGGUGUGGCAACACACUGCCGGCGACCGGCGCACGGGUGAGUAACGCGUAUGCAACUUGCCUAUCAGAGGGGGAUAACCCGGCGAAAGUCGGACUAAUACCGCAUAAAACAGGGGUCCCGCAUGGGGAUAUUUGUUAAAGAUUCAUCGCUGAUAGAUAGGCAUGCGUUCCAUUAGGCAGUUGGCGGGGUAACGGCCCACCAAACCGACGAUGGAUAGGGGUUCUGAGAGGAAGGUCCCCCACAUUGGUACUGAGACACGGACCAAACUCCUACGGGAGGCAGCAGUGAGGAAUAUUGGUCAAUGGCCGGGAGGCUGAACCAGCCAAGUCGCGUGAAGGAUGAAGGUCCUAUGGAUUGUAAACUUCUUUUGUGCGGGAAUAAAGUCGGGGAUGCGUCCCCGUUUGCAUGUACCGUACGAAUAAGCAUCGGCUAACUCCGUGCCAGCAGCCGCAGUAA